RNAcentral lists this ribosomal RNA (253 nucleotides) under uncultured bacterium. RNAcentral describes it as "partial 16S ribosomal RNA". It matches the Rfam family "Bacterial small subunit ribosomal RNA", at positions 524 to 776 of the family's 1533-position model. The record is from RNAcentral.
UACGUAGGGGGCAAGCGUUGUCCGGAUUUGUUGGGCGUAAAGAGCGUGUAGGCGGCCAGGUAGGUCUGCUGUGAAAACUCGAGGCUCAACCUCGAGACGCCGAUGGAAACCAUUUGGCUAGAGUCCGGAAGAGGAGAGUGGAAUUCCUGGUGUAGCGGUGAAAUGCGCAGAUAUCAGGAAGAACACCCGUGGCUAAGGCGGCUCUCUAGUACGGUACUGACGCUGAGACGCGAAAGCGUGGGGAGCGAACAGG